RNAcentral lists this ribosomal RNA (4085 nucleotides) under Candidatus Doudnabacteria bacterium RIFCSPHIGHO2_01_48_18. RNAcentral describes it as "bacterial LSU rRNA". It matches the Rfam family "Bacterial large subunit ribosomal RNA". RNAcentral also lists the same sequence under 1 other name. The record is from RNAcentral. Lineage: Bacteria; Candidatus Doudnaibacteriota.
UCUAAAACACCGAUAAGGGUAUACGGUGGAUGCCUUGGCACAAAAAGCCGACGAAGGACGCAGGAGCCGGCGAUACGCCUCGGGGAGCUGGCAAACAAGCUUUGAUCCGGGGAUGUCCGAAUGGGGAAACCUUAGCAAGUAAACCUUGCUAGCAUUCGUACGUGGUGUACGAGUAGCGGGAACCAUGCGAAGUGAAACAUCUCAGUAGCAUGUGGAAAAGAAAACUAAUGACUAGCUUUUUAUCUCAAGGCUGAUUCCAUGAAGCCUUGAGAUUAGAGAGCUAGUUGCAUUCCCCUAGUAGUGGCGAGCGAAAGGGGAACAGUCCAAACCAUAUUCAUGUUAGAAAUGUAGUCUCUAAUUUAUUAGUGGUUGCGUUUCUUUUAAAGGUUACAGCCGUUGUGAGUAUGGCGUUGCAAGACUAAUCGAUCGCUUCUGUAAAAGCGAGGGAAAAACGUGUUGUGUUGUCUAGUAGAACACGCCUGGAAAGGCGGACCAAAGAGGGUGAUAGUCCCGUACGCGAAAGACCACAAUUAUUUCCUGAUUGGUUCUUAAGUACGGCCGGACACGUGAAAGCCGGUCGGAAACUGGGUCGACUACGAUCUAAGACUAAAUACUUUUUGUGACCGAUAGUGAACAAGUACCGUGAGGGAAAGGUGAAAAGCAGCCCGGUGAGGGCGAUGAAAUAGUAUCUGAAACCGUAUAUCUACAAGGAGCGGAACACCGCAAGGUGAACCGCGUGCCUAUUGAAGAAUGACCCGACGAGUUAACGUAUGCUGCUUGUUUAAGUCUCUUUUGAGACGAAGACAUAGUGAAAGCGAGGGUUAAUAGCCCGUAUUAAUCAAAAAAUCAAUUUUUUGAUUAAAGGUGGCAUGCGUUAGACCCGAAACCCGGUGAGCUACUCAUGGUCAGGAUGAACUCAAGGUAAAACUUGGGGGAGGUCCGAACCCACUAUUGUUGCAAAAAUAGGGGAUGAACUGUGAGUAGGGGAGAAAUUCCAAUCGAACUGGGUGAUAGCUGGUUCUCCUCGAAAUAGCUUUAGGGCUAGCCUUGUGAAUAAACCACGAGAGGUAGAGCACUGGAUGAGUUGUGGGGGAGCAAUCCCUCGCGCUGAACCAACCUCCGAAUUCUCGUGGUGGUUCCACAGGAGUCAGACUGUGAGGUCUAAGCUUCACUAGUCUAAAGGGAAAGAGCCCAGAUCGUCGUUUAAGGUCCCUAAAUCAAAGCUAUAGUGUAAAGGAUGUUUCUGUCCUCAGACAGGUAGGAGGUUGGCUUAGAGGUAGCCACCCUUUAAAGAGUGUGUAACAACUCACUACUCGAGUUUCCUAUUUAUAGGAAUGGGACAGGGGCGCCGACAAUGUAUUGGGACUAAGCUUUGUACCGAAAACACGAGCUCUAUCCGCCUCGCGGCGGAUACGAGCGGUAGAGGAGCAUUGUCAGCUGCAUCGAAGCUGGACCCGCGAGGGCCGGUGGAGUGCUGACAAGAGAGAAUGUUGGGAUAAGUAAUAAUUAUGCAGGUGAGAAUCCUGCACGCCGAAUAUCCAAGGUUUCCUGGGCAAUGAUUAUCAGCCCAGGGUUAGCCGGGCCUUAGUGUGGUGCCAAAUGGUGCUACGCGAUGGACAAGACGGUUGAUAUUCCGUCGCUACUGUUAUGUUAUUCAAGGAGCGACGCAUCAUGGUAGUACAAGCUGGUUUUGACUAUACCAGUUUCUGAGUUCGUAGGAGUCUUGCUUUCCAGGCAAAUCCGGAAGGCAGUCCCGAUUUAUCGGGACGCUCUGAAAACUUGGAGAAAUUCCGCAAGGGAAAUUUGUGUGACCCAGGGUGCCAAGAAAAACUUCGUGAUCAAGCAUGAUAGUAUCCGUACCGCAAACCGACACCGGUGGAUGAGGAGAGUAUCCUCAGGCGAACGAGACAAUAUUUGUUCAGGAACUCGGCAAAAAAGCGGACGUACCUUCGGUAUAUGUCCUGCCCCGAGUAAUCGGGGUCGCAGCGACUGAUCCCCUCCCGACUGUUUAACAAAAACACAGGUCCGUGCCAAAGCUAAAAGCUGAUGUAUACGGGCUGAUGCCUGGCCAGUGUCAGAAGGUUAAACUUGCUUGCGCAAGCAGGUAAGCCAAGCCCUGAUGAACGCCGGCGGUAACUAUGAAGAAGACGUCGUAGUUAUAAAAUUUGGCUAUUUGCGGGAACAUCUGGUUAAGCUCAAAGUACUAGUUCGAAAGAGCAGUAAAAAUCUUUGAGAUACAGACAAUCCGCAGGAAAGACUCGCAAAAAAUCCUCAAAGGAGUAAAAUUCUAUGAGCGAUUCAUGGCUAAAAGCCAUAUCUCCGGAAAUUGGUCAUUAUCUGGCCGGUUUCGCGGAUGGUGAAGGAAGCUUCAACGUUUCUCUUCGCAAAAGACCAGACCAUAAAAUGGGCUGGCAAGUAGUUCCCUGCUUCAAUGUCUCACAAAGAGACCCGACAAUCCUGGCUUUGUUCAAAAAGCAUUUGGGUUGCGGCCGAUUUGUGACUCGCAGGGAUGGAGUGCACUAUUAUGUAGUGCAAAAUCCAACUGCUAUACAAGAAAGGGUUAUUCCUUUCUUCCAGAGGUUUAAGUUUCUAUCCUCGAAAAUGAAAAGAAACUUCAUGCUGUUUCAGCAAAUCGUAGAGUUGAUGAAUGGUAAAGGCCAUCUAAAUUCUAACGGCUUGCUGGAAAUAAUCCAGAUCCGAGAGCAAUUAAAUCUUGGAAAAGGCAGAAAAUGAAAGUACAGCAUUAAUGAUUAUCAAGGAUUUUUAAGCGAGAAUCCUCAGAGACUAAACGCCAAACUCCAGCUAGAUGCUGGAGAUGAUAUAGUCCGAUCUCAUGGGAGACCAUGAGCUAACAUAAAUGAACCGUCCUAUGGUAGAGGAAUUUACUUCAGCAAUGAAGGUUUUGCUGCCAUAGUAAAAUGUAGCUAUAUCGGAAAAACUCUCUAUUGGUACGAGACAAUUCCGAGGGAAGACUUGUUACGUAAUUAAUUACGUAAUUUGAACCCGUAGAGACUAUACGCUGCACUUUGAUUUCGGUCAGAGAAAAUAGAGUCCGUUCUAUAUGGCGACAUAUAGAGGUUAACAGAAAUGAUUAACCCCUCAAUUAAUUAAUUGAGAGUAACAAGCGAAAAGCGAAAUUCCUUGUCGUGUAAGUUACGACCUGCACGAAUGGCAUAACGAGUGGGGGACUGUCUUAACAAAUAGCUCGAUGAAUUUGCAUUAUCGGUAAAGAUGCCGUUUACCCGCAGCAAGACGGAAAGACCCUAUGAAGCUUUACUAUAGCGUGUCAUUGGGUCAAGAUUUAUUCUGUUUAGCAUAGGUGGGAGACUAUGAGGCUGUCGCGCUAGCGAUAGCGGAGUCGCAAUGUGAAAUACCACCCUGAAUGAAUUUUGAUUCUAAUUUCAAUGUAACCAGUUGAAAGACAGUGGCUCGUGGGUAGUUUAACUGGGGCGGUUGCCUCCUAAAUGGUAACGGAGGCGUUUAAAGGUCAGCUAAGCGUGGAUGGAAAUCACGCUGGUCGUGCAAAGGCAUAAGCUGGCUUAACUGCAAGGCAAGCACGCCGCGCAGGUGCGAAAGCAGAACUUAGUGAUCCGACCAUCCAUAGUGGUAUGGUGGAAGCUCAACGGAUAAAAGCUACUCUAGGGAUAACAGGCUGAUCCAGUCCAAGAGUCCACAUCGACGACUGGGUUUGGCACCUCGAUGUCGGCUCAUCACAUCCUGGGGGUGAAGAAGCUCCCAAGGGUUAGGCUGUUCGCCUAUUAAAGUGGUACGCGAGCUGGGUUCAAAACGUCGUGAGACAGUUUGGUCCUUAUCUGCUGUGGGCGUUCGAUACUUGAGAGGGUUCUCCGAUAGUACGAGAGGACCUCGGAGAAUAGGGCUCUGGUGUACCGGUUGUGGUGUCAACUGCAUUGCCGGGUAGCUAAACCCUAGUUUGGAUAAGCGCUGAAGGCAUAUAAGCGCGAAGCCGUCCUCAAGAUUAGGUAUCGUUGCAGCGCAAGCUGCGAGAGGUUCGGGGGAGACUACCCCGCAUAUAGGGUACAGGUGUAAGGCCAGCAAUGGCUUCAGCCGAGUGCUACUAAUCAACC